RNAcentral lists this ribosomal RNA (872 nucleotides) under uncultured eukaryote. RNAcentral's name for it is "SSU rRNA". It matches the Rfam family "Eukaryotic small subunit ribosomal RNA", at positions 563 to 1456 of the family's 1831-position model. The record is from RNAcentral.
UGUGCCAGCAGCCGCGGUAAUUCCAGCUCCAAUAGCGUAUAUUAAAGUUGUUGCGGUUAAAAAGCUCGUAGUUGGAUCUCGGCGGGCAGGGGGUGGUUCGCUCUUCAGCGCUACUGCCCCGCUUUGCCCGUGUGAUUGGCGGAGGUUUCGGGGUGCUCUUCGUUGAGUGACUCGGAGCGCCGUCAGGUUUACUUUGAAAAAAUUAGAGUGCUCAAAGCAGGCUUUUCACGCUUGAAUAUUCGUGCAUGGAAUAAUGGAAUAGGAACUCGUUUCUAUUUUGUUGGUUUUCGGAAAUCGAGUUAAUGAUUAACAGGGACAAUUGGGGGCAUUAGUAUUCAGACGACAGAGGUGAAAUUCUUGGACCGUCUGAAGACUGACUACUGCGAAAGCAUUUGCCAAGAGUGUUUUCAUUAAUCAAGAACGAAAGUUAGAGGUUCGAAGGCGAUCAGAUACCGCCCUAGUUCUAACCAUAAACGAUGCCAGCUAGCGAUCUGCCGAGUUUUUUUUGUAGGCUCCGCAGGAAGCUUUCGGGAAACCAAAGCUUUUGGGUUCCGGGGGAAGUAUGGUUGCAAAGCUGAAACUUAAAGGAAUUGACGGAAGGGCACCACCAGGAGUGGAGCCUGCGGCUUAAUUUGACUCAACACGGGAAAUCUCACCAGGCCCGGACACUGGAAGGAUUGACAGAUUGAGAGCUCUUUCUCGAUUCGGUGGGUGGUGGUGCAUGGCCGUUCUUAGUUGGUGGAGUGAUUUGUCUGGUUAAUUCCGAUAACGAACGAGACUCUGUCCUGCUAAAUAGUUGGGUCGUCCUUCGUGCGAUCCAAGUUCUUCUUAGAGGGACUGGCUGCGUCUAGCAGCACGAGAUUGGGCAAUAA